AGAGUUUGAUCAUGGCUCAGGAUUAACGUUGGCAGUGUGCCUAACACAUGCAAGUCGAGCGAUAUAGCGGCAGACGAGAGAGUAUAAGAAAGGAACGUACCCCCCGAGUGAAGGAUAGCCAGCCGAAAGGCUGGGUAAUCCUGCAUAAUCCCGCAAGGGCAAAGCUUUACGCGCUUGGGGAGCGGCCUUUCUCCUAUCAGCUUGUUGGUGAGGUAAUGGCUUACCAAGGCGAUGACGGGUAGCUGGUCUGAGAGGAUGAUCAGCCUCGAUGGGACUGAGACACGGACCAUACUCCUACGGGAGGCAGCAGUUGGGAAUUUUGCACAAUGGAGGCAACUCUGAUGCAGCAACACUGCGUGAAGGAUGAAGGUUUUCGGAUUGUAAACUUCUUUUAUCUGGGAAUAAUCUUGAAGGUACCAGAUGAAUAAGCACCGGCUAACUACGUG
RNAcentral lists this ribosomal RNA (446 nucleotides) under uncultured bacterium. RNAcentral describes it as "bacterial SSU rRNA". It matches the Rfam family "Bacterial small subunit ribosomal RNA", at positions 8 to 507 of the family's 1533-position model. The record is from RNAcentral.